CGUGACGCAGGGGUCCUGAAGCUGCGCAAGGCUAGCGGGUGGGAACCGGUGCAUGGCACCGCACCCCUAGCAGAGACUUCUGCUUGCAGAAUUCAGAGUUGCUUUUCCGAAUAAGUCUGUGCAGCCAACUGCCGUGUACCCUGCAGAGAGAGAAGAAAUCGGAGGGGAGUGGGAGAGAAAAACUCGAUUUGACAAUAUCGAUUUAUAGGGAGAGGACGUUAAUCCUGGAGACGUGAUAAAUCUUUUCCUGUAAGGCGAAAAAAGUGGAGGAGCGUGCUAAAUGAACAGACCCAUCUCGUGAGAGUCUGCGAUUGGUUGGAGACAUUUCAGCAGAAAAAGCGAUCGAUUGGAGCAGAAGUAAUUUCUCAGUGCGCUGUUUCGUGUGUUCAUUGCGUUCAUGGAACAAUUAUUUGAGGAGCUGCCCCGCUUUGGUCGCGGAUCCCACUUACCUGGGACUAACCCCGCUUUGAUAGCGGAUCCCACUUACCUGGGACUAACCGGUGCACCACCCCUGACUGCUGAAAGUUCUGGUUCCCGGGUCUCGGCACCACUUGUCGCGACCCCUUGCCCGCAAGGAAGACGCAACUCGGGAAUCUUCUUUCAACAGUUUAUUCAGGCCCCUGAUAUUUCUUCUUCUCCUUCUCGGAUGCCCCUCCCAGCCUUAAUAAAGCAUCUCAAGCCCCAA
Molecule: long non-coding RNA, 685 nt
Organism: Marmota monax (woodchuck)
Lineage: Eukaryota; Metazoa; Chordata; Mammalia; Rodentia; Sciuridae
Exons: 2
Source: RefSeq, a predicted model, not a curated record